ACGACUUCGGGAUCCGAUUGGCUAGAGUAAGAGAGCCAGGCGCCCAAGGGGCAAUUGAGGCCGGAUUUGGUCCCCUGACUGGCGCCUGUGGAGCUGAGGGCGCUGCGGGCGGGAUCGCGGGGUAGGGCCGGCGCCAGGCCUUCAAGUCAAACCACUGACGGGUGCCGUUAAGACCCGCGCUCGAGCGCCCACCCCAAAUCUCGAGACGUGCGGGUCGCGGGCGGCCGGCCCUGGCCCGAGAGCUCGCUCUUGUUCCCGCGGGAUCUCAAGCUGGCGUGAGGCCGAGCCGGCCUGGGCCGGGCAUCCCCUGGCACAGCCUGCGGGCCUGUCCGGGAAGCUGUUGCGACACUCGGGCGGUGGCCUGUUAGACUCGGGUCGAGUCUGGAGUGUUGGCUUUCCAAGCCGUGGGCUAGCUAACUCCUGAGGACCCGGAGCUCCUCAGGCCCCAGCGCCCCGCGCUGGGCUUGCACCUGAAGUCGCCCAGUACACCCCGCAGUUGUUGAAUGAAUGAGUUCUUCGGGGGCCCGCGGUCGCUGGGCCCUGCGCCAGACUGAGAGCUGGGGGCGGGGAAGGGAGAUGUCGAAAUGGGGCAGGAUGAUUCAGAGAUGACGACAGGUGGAGAAGCCAGACUGGAGGCAGCUGCCCAAGCACAGCAGGAAAAGUAUAUGGGGAAGUUCGGACGUACAGCUUGUCGCUGAGUGACGCAAUGAUGAACCUACCGCCUGGUGAUAACUGCCUUUUGUGAUAAGACCCCUCUCCCUCCUGGACAGGUCGGUGGAGUCUGAGAGGGGCGCGCACUGGUUAAAGAACAAUGCCAGCAAUUCCCAGCCUUGAGCACCACCUCCUGGGCCGUGACGUUGCACAGGAGCUUCACUAGGGCUGCAGGCUCGGUUGAGGAACACAGGCGCUUUCCCUACUCCGUCUGCCUCGCUUCUUCAGUUUCCCGUCCCUGGAGCGUGUUUGCACAAGCCUCCCCACUGUUUCCAGCUCUCUCUUUACUGCCUAUUUUACUGAGAUGAUGAUGCAAUUGUGAACUUUUCCAUCUGUUUAUAGGUUUUCCGUAAAUAGGGAAGGGGUUUUCCUUUUUUUCUCUAAAGCUUAGCGGUUUCUGGGCCUCUGGUUUUUCGGGGUUCUGUUUUUUAACUUUUUUUUUUUAACUCAUCUAUUCUCUUCCUAUUCAGCAGUGGUUAUUAACUUUUGCGUCUCGACCUUUUGGAAAAUAAGCUACAAAUCCUCUUCUCCUUCCCCUCCACCUUCCACCCACCCUGCACACACACAAUUUUGAAAAUAAUUUCUGAAUUUGCAGAGUCCCUGAAGGUGACUCGUGGCCCCCCGAGGGGUCCAUUAACUUCAGAUUAAGAAAAGCCUGAGUUCUCACACGUCUCGCAAAAAGAAACUCACUCAAUCCUGCUAGAGUAUUCAUUCCCUUUACUGCCAAACUGCUCCAGUAAUGACCUAUAUAUACCUGCUAUGUCCUUUCUCUCCUUAAGCCCUACAUUUUUACUCUUUUAUUCAGUGGUCGCAAAUGACUUUUCCAAAUCCAAUGGUCUUUUUCUUGUUCUGAUUUUUCUGGACUAAGAGAUAACACUUAGCCCCUCCAUUGACCCAUCCCUCACUGAAACUUUUUCCUACCUUCAGGAACCACUCUAUCUCUUCUAUCUUUUAGACUUCUGAGUCUCCUACACUUCUCUGCCCACUGGGGAGGAACAUUCCUAAAGGUUUAAUGCUUCUUGUUCAUCUUUAAUACCUUAGGGAACUUUACCAUCCCAAAUCUGUUUUCCUUUUUGGAGCCCUGUCUAUAUUUCCCUAUUGCUUACUCUUUAACUGAAAUUUCCAUGUGAACUCUUCAGUAAAUAUUUAUUGAGUAACAACUUUAUGCCUGACACUGUACUUGAAGCCAGUGACACAGGACAGAUGGAGUCCAUGCUUUCACGAAGCUUACUUUUUAAUGGGGGGAAAGAGAUAGACCAAUAAGAAAAAUAUCAGAUAGCUCUAGGUACCAUGCUGAUAACUGAAAUAGGGAGGUGGAUAAAGUGUGACUGGGUAGCUACAUUUGCAUGACCAGGAAAGGCCUUUCUGAGGAGACGACACUAAGGUAAGUUCUGAAUAAGAGGCAGGAACUCAUGAUGGACUCAGACAAGAGCAUUCCAGAAGAAACAGGAGGUACAACAAUCCUAAGGUAACAACAAGAUUGGUGUAUGAAGGAACAGAAAGAAAGUCUAUGUGGCUGGAGCAUGGUGAGUGAGGGGGGAAGUGAUACAAGAUGAGGUUGGAAAGAUAGGCAGAGGGUGAAUAUCCACCUUAAUUUCUGACUCAGCAUGUCCAUUCCAAACUCAGCCUUUCCACUCCCCACCCCAACCAAUUCCUCCUAAAUAUUCCUUGUCUACCCAAUCAAUCAGACUUUAAAGCUGGUAUCCUCCUUGACUACCCCUUCAGAAUAAUUAUUCUGAAAUGUUUCUUUUGUUCAUGCUCUCCUUUUCCUUCUUAUUGAUAUUAUUCUUUCCCAGUAUCUGAUCACUUUACAUCUAUAUUGUAAUAACCUUUGAAAGGCCUCCCUACCUCUGGAUCCCCUGGCUUUACUAGUAUUUGGAUUUGCCUCCUUCCAGGGACAUUGUAGGAUUGUUCUUCCCACCUCCUUGAAGAUAGGCAUGGCUGUGAGAUUUGCUUUGACCAAUGAAAUGUGAGAGAAGCAUGAGAGCCACACAUUAACUUCCCCUGCCACAUGACUGGUGAUGUUCAGAUGGUGGGAGCACCAUCAGUCUGGGGCCCUGACCCAGAAGAUGUCAACCAUUUUUGGCCAUGAGGACAAAGCCUAUACCUUAGCAGGUGGCAGAGGAAAAAGUAGAAGAAACUUGUUUCCUUGUGGGUAACACUAGUACCUCUGGACUACUCAUGUUCUGGUUGCCUCACAAAGUGAAACGUCUGGGAAGUGACUGCUCAUGGAUACAAAGUUUCUUUUUAGUUGAUGAAAAUGUUUUAAGGUUAUAUUGUGGUAAUGGUUGCACAAGCCUGUGAAUAUACUAAAAACUAUUGAAUUGGGUGAAUUUUGUGGUAUAUAAAUUAUGUCUCAAUAAAGCUGUUUUUGAAAAGGUGAAAGAUCAGUGCCCG
This 3108-nucleotide long non-coding RNA is filed under the name Equus asinus (donkey). Its description in RNAcentral is "lncRNA (ENSEASG00005036769.1)". The record is from RNAcentral. Lineage: Eukaryota; Metazoa; Chordata; Mammalia; Perissodactyla; Equidae.